AUUGAACGCUGGCGGCAGGCCUAACACAUGCAAGUCGAACGAGUGGCGGACGGGUGAGUAAUGUCUGGGAAACUGCCUGAUGGAGGGGGAUAACUACUGGAAACGGUAGCUAAUACCGCCUACCAGCGGCUAGGCCCAGAUGGGAAUAGCUAGUUGGUGGGGUAACGGCUCACCAAGGCGACGAUCCCUAACUGGUCUGAGAGGAUGACCAGCCACACUGGAACUGAGACACGGUCCAGACUCCUACGGGAGGCAGCAGUGGGGAAUAUUGCACAAUGGGCGAAAGCCUGAUGCAGCCAUGCCGCGUGUGUGAAGAAGGUCUUCGGGUUGUAAAGUACUUUCAGUUGGGAGGCGUUACCCGCAGAAGAAGCACCGGCUAACUCCGUGCCAGCCGCCGCGGUAAUAC
RNAcentral lists this ribosomal RNA (406 nucleotides) under uncultured bacterium. RNAcentral's name for it is "partial 16S ribosomal RNA". It matches the Rfam family "Bacterial small subunit ribosomal RNA", at positions 30 to 526 of the family's 1533-position model. The record is from RNAcentral.